CUGCUGGCAUCUUCUGUUCUAGUCCACACUAUGCUGUCCCCGGGGGUACUGGGUUUAUAGAGAAGAACAGAGCUCCCAACCCCAGCAAAGAUGCAGAGGGAUUCUAAAGUGGACAGACACUGGCAGUAUUGCAGGACAAGAUUUGGAACCUUACGAGGACACGGAACCUCCUAGGUAAGUUACCAGCCACCUGCUCUUCCUUCCUUGGGAAGAAACACGGUGUUUCCUGGAAGGAUGAACGGCUCAGUGCUGACGUGCUAUGAGAAAUGCAGGCUGCAGCCAGGACUACUCUCCUUCCAAAAAUGAAGUCUUGUUACCAGUGCAUAACAGGACUCUGCUUGCCCACAGGGCAGAACAAUCGGCAUGUCAGAGUGGAGAGGGUAGAAGAGGGUUGGGUCUCUCCCAGAAACACCAGCAGCUAGCUUUAGGCGAGACAGCAGCACCUGCCAUCUAUCCCUUGCACCCGCCUUCCAUGUAUUCCCAAGGCUCUUCAGGACAGGAGGUCUUGAGUACAGGCCCUGUUGUCUGUCACGUUUCAAGGCACUGGGAAAUGACUGAUGUCUGCUGACCCCAGGUCAAGUUCUUUCUCAGAAUUUUACGAGCCAUGUGAUCCUGUGGCGAUAAUAACAAUAAAAACGCAUGUAACACCCA
RNAcentral lists this long non-coding RNA (651 nucleotides) under Mus spicilegus (steppe mouse). RNAcentral describes it as "lncRNA (ENSMSIG00000009931.1)". The record is from RNAcentral. Lineage: Eukaryota; Metazoa; Chordata; Mammalia; Rodentia; Muridae.